GGGGCUUUAGCUCAGAAGGGAGAGCGGGUGACUUAAGUUCGCACGGACCCGUGUUCAACCCACGGAAGCCCCA
This 73-nucleotide transfer RNA is filed under the name Coemansia erecta. RNAcentral describes it as "tRNA-Leu". The record is from RNAcentral. RNAcentral also lists the same sequence under 3 other names. Lineage: Eukaryota; Fungi; Kickxellomycota; Kickxellomycetes; Kickxellales; Kickxellaceae.